CGUUCUUGAAACACGGACCAAGGAGUUUAGCGUGUGCGCGAGUCAUUGAGUGGCAAAACUCAAAGGCGAAAUGAAAGUGAAGGGAACUUUACGUUUCUGAGGGAAGAUGAGACGGUUUCUUUAUAGAGCCUCUCCGCACUCCCGGGGCGUCUCUAUCUCAUUGCGAGAGGAGGCGCACCUAUAGCGUACACGCUGAUACCCGAAAGAUGGUGAACUAUGCCUGGCCAGGACGAAGCCAGGGGAAACCCUGGUGGAGGUCCGCAGCGAUUCUGACGUGCAAAUCGAUCGUCGGAGCUGGGUUUAGGGGCGAAAGACCAAUCGAACCAUCUAGUAGCUGGUUCC
This 342-nucleotide ribosomal RNA is filed under the name Lopidea sp. WCW-2003d. RNAcentral describes it as "eukaryotic LSU rRNA". It matches the Rfam family "Eukaryotic large subunit ribosomal RNA", at positions 650 to 958 of the family's 3401-position model. Lineage: Eukaryota; Metazoa; Arthropoda; Insecta; Hemiptera; Miridae. The record is from RNAcentral.